GACGAACCGUGCGAACGUUAUUCGGAAUCACUGGGCUUAAAGCGCGUGUAGGUGGGACGGCACGUCGGCCGCUGAAAUCCCCCGGCUUAACCGGGGAACGGGCGCCGAUACGACCGCCCUCGAGGAACGUAGGGGGAGCUGGAACUUCCGGUGGAGCGGUGAAAUGCGUUGAGAUCGGAAGGAACGCCCGUGGCGAAAGCGAGCUCCUGGACGUUUUCUGACACUGAGACGCGAAAGCCAGGGGAGCGAACGGG
Molecule: ribosomal RNA, 254 nt
Filed under: uncultured bacterium
Lineage: Bacteria
Description: partial 16S ribosomal RNA
Rfam family: Bacterial small subunit ribosomal RNA
Source: RNAcentral